RNAcentral lists this ribosomal RNA (1026 nucleotides) under Triticum aestivum (bread wheat). RNAcentral describes it as "partial small subunit ribosomal RNA". The record is from RNAcentral. Lineage: Eukaryota; Viridiplantae; Streptophyta; Magnoliopsida; Poales; Poaceae.
AUGGAGUCUAGCUACUUGUGGGAAGACAGCCAGCCUGUAGAAGACAGCGAGCUCGUGCUUGAUAGCCUGCUUGCGGAGGACAGCAUGCUCGCUGACUGCAGCGCCCCGGACGACGGCGCGCUUGACGACGGCGACGUCCAUCCGCACUACGGCAUUCCCGCAGAGGGCGCCGUCCAGAAGGACGACGGAGCACUCAAGAACGGCGUCGACCACUCGCGCGACGGCGUUCCCACGACAGGCGGCGUCCUGCAGGGCGAUUGCGCACUCGCGGACGGCGUCCUCCAGCUGCCUCACGGCGUGUCCGUGGAGGGCGGCGUCCUGCAGGGCGAUUGCGCGCUCGCGGACGGCGUCCUCCAGCUGCCUCACGGCGUGUCCGUGGAGGGCGGCAUCCAACAGGGCGAUGGCGCGCUCGCGGACGGCGUCAUCCACCCGCUCGGCGUCCAGGUGGUCGCGGAGGAGGGCGACGUCGUCCUCCCGGCGCUCGCUUCGGGAGGCCAUGCGUUUGCGGAGGGCGUCGCCAGCGACGGCGGCAUGCAUGCAAAAGUACACUCGCCGGAGGUGAGUGCAUCAUUUUCCGAUGAUGCAGAUCUAAUGUCCAACUGUUACGGUUACACACCUGGCUUCCCGUGCUCUUUGUGUGGUGGCCAUGGACGAGGCAACACAAACUGCCCAAGGUGUGCGCGAUGGGGACGCUUGCUCGCGGACAGCAGCGUGCACGCACUGGAGCGCGACGGCAGCAUGCACGGCGCUGUCAAGAUAGUGGCAGGAGACGGCAAUGACCAGGUGCGCGCGCUCGUGGACAAUGGCAAAGUUGACCCAGAAAGCAGCAACGAGACGACAAACGACGAGGAGUUGCUGGCCGGCACGGAGGGUGAAGAGGCCGGCGACAUUGAUGCAUCUCUUCUUUAUGCUCCUGACUCGAUGCCGGAGGAAGAAUCUUUGCCACUGCCGGAGCAAUUCUCUGUGCCGGAUGAAACGACAAAGCGUGAGUUCAUGAAAAUUUAUCUGCCGGAGUUUCAUGAGUGA